ACGGGUGAGUAACGCGUGGGCAACCUGCCUUCUACAGGGGGAUAACACAGGGAAACUUGUGCUAAUACCGCAUAACACUAUUAAGUGGCAUCACUUGAUAAUCAAAGGAGCAAUCCGGUAGAAGAUGGGCCCGCGUCCAAUUAGCUAGUUGGUGGUGUAACGGACCACCGAGGCGACGAUUGGUAGCCGAACUGAGAGGUUGAUCGGCCACAUUGGGACUGAGACACGGCCCAGACUCCUACGGGAGGCAGCAGUGGGGAAUAUUGCGCAAUGGGGGAAACCCUGACGCAGCAACGCCGCGUGAAGGAUGAAGGUUUUCGGAUUGUAAACUUCUUUGAUGAGGGACGAAAAAUGACGGUACCUCAAAAACAAGCCACGGCUAACUACGUGCCAGCAGCCGCGGUAAUACGUAGGUGGCGAGCGUUGUCCGGAAUUACUGGGUGUAAAGGGCGUGUAGGCGGGGAUGUAAGUCAGAUGUGAAAUGCCGAAGCUUAACUUCGGAGCUGCAUCUGAAACUGUGUCUCUUGAGUGCCGGAGAGGAAAGCGGAAUUCCCAGU
RNAcentral lists this ribosomal RNA (557 nucleotides) under uncultured bacterium. RNAcentral describes it as "bacterial SSU rRNA". It matches the Rfam family "Bacterial small subunit ribosomal RNA", at positions 102 to 674 of the family's 1533-position model. The record is from RNAcentral.